This 448-nucleotide ribosomal RNA is filed under the name uncultured bacterium. RNAcentral describes it as "bacterial SSU rRNA". It matches the Rfam family "Bacterial small subunit ribosomal RNA", at positions 28 to 456 of the family's 1533-position model. The record is from RNAcentral.
GAUGAACGCUGGCGGCGUGCUUAACACAUGCAAGUCGAACGAAGCAUUUAAGACAGAUUACUUCGGUUUGAAGUCUUUUAUGACUGAGUGGCGGACGGGUGAGUAACGCGUGGGUAACCUGCCUCAUACAGGGGGAUAGCAGCUGGAAACGGCUGGUAAUACCGCAUAAGCGCACGGUAUCGCAUGAUACGGUGUGAAAAACUCCGGUGGUAUGAGAUGGACCCGCGUCUGAUUAGCUGGUUGGUGAGGUAACGGCCCACCAAGGCGACGAUCAGUAGCCGACCUGAGAGGGUGACCGGCCACAUUGGGACUGAGACACGGCCCAGACUCCUACGGGAGGCAGCAGUGGGGAAUAUUGCACAAUGGAGGAAACUCUGAUGCAGCGACGCCGCGUGAGUGAAGAAGUAGUUCGCUAUGUAAAGCUCUAUCAGCAGGGAAGAUAGUGACG